UUUUUACGUGUCCACCGUACAUUCUUUCGGCAAGUUUCGCCAGCUCUGUACGGCAAAGUUUGACACCGGACAUAGCUCAAAUGAAAGGUAAUGAAUCAGAGCAGGACCCACUUAAAUGAUUUUUUGGGGGUUAGGACCUUCUAGGAAUUGAAGGGGUUCAAAGUUGGUAUUAUUUUUUUUUUUACGUGUCCACCGUACAUUCUUUCGGAAAGUCUCGCCAGCUCCGUACGGCAAAGUUCGACACCGGACAUAUUUCAAAUGAAAGGUAAUGAAUCAAAGCAGGACCCACUUAAAUGAUUUUUGGGGGAUAGGACCUUCUGGGAAUUGAAGGGGUUCAAAGUUGGUAUUAUUUUUUUUUGACGUGUCCACCGUACAUUCUUUCGGCAAGUUUCGCCAGCUCUGUACGGCAAAGUUCAACACCGGACAUAGCUCAAAUGAAAGGUAAUGAAUCAGAGCAGGACCCACUUAAAUGAUUUUUUGGGGGUUAGGACCUUCUAGGAAUUGAAGGGGUUCAAAGUUGGUAUUAUUUUUUUUUUACGUGUCCACCGUACAUUCUUUCGGCAAGUCUCGCCAGCUCCGUACGGCAAAGUUCGACACCGGACAUAGCUCAAAUGAAAGGUAAUGAAUCAGAGCAGGACCCACUUAAAUGAUUUUUUGGGGGUUAGGACCUUCUGGGAAUUGAAGGGGUUCAAAGUUGGUAUUAUUUUUUUUUUACGUGUCCACCGUACAUUCUUUCGGCAAGUUUCGCCAGUUCUGUACGGCAAAGUUCAACACCGGACAUAGCUCAAAUGAAAGGUAAUGAAUCAGAGCAGGACCCACUUAAAUGAUUUUUUGGGGGUUAGGACCUUCUAGGAAUUGAAGGGGUUCAAAGUUGGUAUUAAUUUUUUUUUUACGUGUCCACCGUACAUUCUUUCGGCAAGUCUCGCCAGCUCCGUACGGCAAAGUUCGACACCGGACAUAGCUCAAAUGAAAGGUAAUGAAUCAGAGCAGGACCCACUUAAAUGAUUUUUUGGGGGUUAGGACCUUCUGGGAAUUGAAGGGGUUCAAAGUUGGUAUUAUUUUUUUUUUACGUGUCCACCGUACAUUCUUUCGGCAAGUUUCGCCAGCUCUGUACGGCAAAGUUCAACACCGGACAUAGCUCAAAUGAAAGGUAAUGAAUCAGAGCAGGACCCACUUAAAUGAUUUUUUGGGGGUUAGGACCUUCUAGGAAUUGAAGGGGUUCAAAGUUGGUAUUAUUUUUUUUUUACGUGUCCACCGUACAUUCUUUCGGCAAGUCUCGCCAGCUCCGUACGGCAAAGUUCGACACCGGACAUAGCUCAAAUGAAAGGUAAUGAAUCAGAGCAGGACCCACUUAAAUGAUUUUUUGGGGGUUAGGACCUUCUGGGAAUUGAAGGGGUUCAAAGUUGGUAUUAUUUUUUUUUUUACGUGUCCACCGUACAUUCUUUCGGCAAGUUUCGCCAGCUCUGUACGGCAAAGUUCAACACCGGACAUAGCUCAAAUGAAAGGUAAUGAAUCAGAGCAGGACCCACUUAAAUGAUUUUUUGGGGGUUAGGACCUUCUGGGAAUUGAAGGGGUUCAAAGUUGGUAUUAUUUUUUUUUUUACGUGUCCACCGUACAUUCUUUCGGCAAGUUUCGCCAGCUCUGUACGGCAAAGUUCAACACCGGACAUAGCUCAAAUGAAAGGUAAUGAAUCAGAGCAGGACCCACUUAAAUGAUUUUUUGGGGGUUAGGACCUUCUAGGAAUUGAAGGGGUUCAAAGUUGGUAUUAAUUUUUUUUUUACGUGUCCACCGUACAUUCUUUCGGCAAGUCUCGCCAGCUCCGUACGGCAAAGUUCAACACCGGACAUAGCUCAAAUGAAAGGUAAUGAAUCAGAGCAGAACCCACUUAAAUGAUUUUUUGGGGGUUAGGACCUUCUGGGAAUUGAAGGGGUUCAAAGUUGGUAUUAUUUUUUUUUUUACGUGUCCACCGUACAUUCUUUCGGCAAGUUUCGCCAGCUCUGUACGGCAAAGUUCAACACCGGACAUAGCUCAAAUGAAAGGUAAUGAAUCAGAGCAGGACCCACUUAAAUGAUUUUUUGGGGGUUAGGACCUUCUGGGAAUUGAAGGGGUUCAAAGUUGGUAUUAUUUUUUUUUUUACGUGUCCACCGUACAUUCUUUCGGCAAGUUUCGCCAGCUCUGUACGGCAAAGUUCAACACCGGACAUAGUUCAAAUGAAAGGUAAUGAAUCAGAGCAGGACCCACUUAAAUGAUUUUUUGGGGGUUAGGACCUUCUAGGAAUUGAAGGGGUUCAAAGUUGGUAUUAAUUUUUUUUUUACGUGUCCACCGUACAUUCUUUCGGCAAGUCUCGCCAGCUCCGUACGGCAAAGUUCGACACCGGACAUAGCUCAAAUGAAAGGUAAUGAAUCAGAGCAGGACCCACUUAAAUGAUUUUUUGGGGGUUAGGACCUUCUGGGAAUUGAAGGGGUUCAAAGUUGGUAUUAUUUUUUUUUUUACGUGUCCACCGUACAUUCUUUCGGCAAGUUUCGCCAGCUCUGUACGGCAAAGUUCAACACCGGACAUAGCUCAAAUGAAAGGUAAUGAAUCAGAGCAGGACCCACUUAAAUGAUUUUUUGGGGGUUAGGACCUUCUGGGAAUUGAAGGGGUUCAAAGUUGGUAUUAUUUUUUUUUUUACGUGUCCACCGUACAUUCUUUCGGCAAGUUUCGCCAGCUCUGUACGGCAAAGUUCAACACCGGACAUAGUUCAAAAGAAAGGUAAUGAAUCAGAGCAGGACCCACUUAAAUGAUUUUUUGGGGGUUAGGACCUUCUAGGAAUUGAAGGGGUUCAAAGUUGGUAUUAAUUUUUUUUUUACGUGUCCACCGUACAUUCUUUCGGCAAGUCUCGCCAGCUCCGUACGGCAAAGUUCGACACCGGACAUAGCUCAAAUGAAAGGUAAUGAAUCAGAGCAGGACCCACUUAAAUGAUUUUUUGGGGGUUAGGACCUUCUGGGAAUUGAAGGGGUUCAAAGUUGGUAUUAUUUACGUGUCCACCGUACAUUCUUUCGGCAAGUUUCGCCAGCUCUGUACGGCAAAGUUCAACACCGGACAUAGCUCAAAUGAAAGGUAAUGAAUCAGAGCAGGACCCACUUAAAUGAUUUUUUAGGGGUUAGGACCUUCUGGGAAUUGAAGGGGUUCAAAGUUGGUAUUAUUUUUUUUUUUACGUGUCCACCGUACAUUCUUUCGGCAAGUUUCGCCAGCUCUGUACGGCAAAGUUCAACACCGGACAUAGCUCAAAUGAAAGGUAAUGAAUCAGAGCAGGACCCACUUAAAUGAUUUUUUGGGGGUUAGGACCUUCUGGGAAUUGAAGGGGUUCAAAGUUGGUAUUAUUUUUUUUUUUACGUGUCCACCGUACAUUCUUUCGGCAAGUUUCGCCAGCUCUGUACGGCAAAGUUCAACACCGGACAUAGUUCAAAAGAAAGGUAAUGAAUCAGAGCAGGACCCACUUAAAUGAUUUUUUGGGGGUUAGGACCUUCUAGGAAUUGAAGGGGUUCAAAGUUGGUAUUAAUUUUUUUUUUACGUGUCCACCGUACAUUCUUUCGGCAAGUCUCGCCAGCUCCGUACGGCAAAGUUCGACACCGGACAUAGCUCAAAUGAAAGGUAAUGAAUCAGAGCAGGACCCACUUAAAUGAUUUUUUGGGGGUUAGGACCUUCUGGGAAUUGAAGGGGUUCAAAGUUGGUAUUAUUUACGUGUCCACCGUACAUUCUUUCGGCAAGUUUCGCCAGCUCUGUACGGCAAAGUUCAACACCGGACAUAGCUCAAAUGAAAGGUAAUGAAUCAGAGCAGGACCCACUUAAAUGAUUUUUUGGGGGUUAGGACCUUCUGGGAAUUGAAGGGGUUCAAAGUUGGUAUUAAUUUUUUUUUUACGUGUCCACCGUACAUUCUUUCGGCAAGUUUCGCCAGCUCUGUACAGCAAAGUUCAACACCGGACAUAGUUCAAAUGAAAGGUAAUGAAUCAGAGCAGGACCCACUUAAAUGAUUUUUUGGGGGUUAGGACCUUCUAGGAAUUGAAGGGGUUCAAAGUUGGUAUUAAUUUUUUUUUUACGUGUCCACCGUAAAUUCUUUCGGCAAGUCUCGCCAGCUCCGUACGGCAAAGUUCGACACCGGACAUAGCUCAAAUGAAAGGUAAUGAAUCAGAGCAGGACCCACUUAAAUGAUUUUUUGGGGGUUAGGACCUUCUGGGAAUUGAAGGGGUUCAAAGUUGGUAUUAUUUUUUUUUUUACGUGUCCACCGUACAUUCUUUCGGCAAGUUUCGCCAGCUCUGUACGGCAAAGUUCGACACCGGACAUAGCUCAAAUGAAAGGUAAUGAAUCAGAGCAGGACCCACUUAAAUGAUUUUUUGGGGGUUAGGACCUUCUGGGAAUUGAAGGGGUUCAAAGUUGGUAUUAUUUUUUUUUUUACGUGUCCACCGUACAUUCUUUCGGCAAGUUUCGCCAGCUCUGUACGGCAAAGUUCAACACCGGACAUAGCUCAAAUGAAAGGUAAUGAAUCAGAGCAGGACCCACUUAAAUGAUUUUUUGGGGGUUAGGACCUUCUGGGAAUUGAAGGGGUUCAAAGUUGGUAUUAUUUUUUUUUUUACGUGUCCACCGUACAUUCUUUCGGCAAGUUUCGCCAGCUCUGUACGGCAAAGUUCAACACCGGACAUAGUUCAAAAGAAAGGUAAUGAAUCAGAGCAGGACCCACUUAAAUGAUUUUUUGGGGGUUAGGACCUUCUAGGAAUUGAAGGGGUUCAAAGUUGGUAUUAAUUUUUUUUUUACGUGUCCACCGUACAUUCUUUCGGCAAGUCUCGCCAGCUCCGUACGGCAAAGUUCGACACCGGACAUAGCUCAAAUGAAAGGUAAUGAAUCAGAGCAGGACCCACUUAAAUGAUUUUUUGGGGGUUAGGACCUUCUGGGAAUUGAAGGGGUUCAAAGUUGGUAUUAUUUUUUUUUUACGUGUCCACCGUACAUUCUUUCGGCAAGUUUCGCCAGCUCUGUACGGCAAACUUCAACACCGGACAUAGUUCAAAUGAAAGGUAAUGAAUCAGAGCAGGACCCACUUAAAUGAUUUUUUGGGGGUUAGGACCUUCUAGGAAUUGAAGGGGUUCAAAGUUGGUAUUAAUUUUUUUUUUACGUGUCCACCGUACAUUCUUUCGGCAAGUCUCGCCAGCUCCGUACGGCAAAGUUCGACACCGGACAUAGCUCAAAUGAAAGGUAAUGAAUCAGAGCAGGACCCACUUAAAUGAUUUUUUGGGGGUUAGGACCUUCUGGGAAUUGAAGGGGUUCAAAGUUGGUAUUAUUUUUUUUUUUACGUGUCCACCGUACAUUCUUUCGGCAAGUUUCGCCAGCUCUGUACGGCAAAGUUCAACACCGGACAUAGCUCAAAUGAAAGGUAAUGAAUCAGAGCAGGACCCACUUAAAUGAUUUUUUGGGGGUUAGGACCUUCUGUGAAUUGAAGGGGUUCAAAGUUGGUAUUAUUUUUUUUUUUACGUGUCCACCGUACAUUCUUUCGGCAAGUUUCGCCAGCUCUGUACGGCAAAGUUCAACACCGGACAUAGCUCAAAUGAAAGGUAAUGAAUCAGAGCAGGACCCACUUAAAUGAUUUUUUGGGGGUUAGGACCUUCUAGGAAUUGAAGGGGUUCAAAGUUGGUAUUAAUUUUUUUUUACGUGUCCACCGUACAUUCUUUCGGCAAGUCUCGCCAGCUCCGUACGGCAAAGUUCGACACCGGACAUAGCACAAAUGAAAGGUAAUGAAUCAGAGCAGGACCCACUUAAAUGAUUUUUUGGGGGUUAGGACCUUCUGGGAAUUGAAGGGGUUCAAAGUUGGUAUUAUUUUUUUUUUACGUGUCCACCGUACAUUCUUUCGGCAAGUUUCGCUAGCUCUGUACGGCA
Mytilus californianus (California mussel) is the source of this 5904-nucleotide long non-coding RNA. RefSeq lists it as uncharacterized. NCBI's taxonomy places the organism in Eukaryota, Metazoa, Mollusca, Bivalvia, Mytilida, Mytilidae. The record is from RefSeq and is a predicted model, not a curated record. The transcript has 3 exons.